Molecule: ribosomal RNA, 532 nt
Filed under: uncultured bacterium
Lineage: Bacteria
Description: bacterial SSU rRNA
Rfam family: Bacterial small subunit ribosomal RNA
Source: RNAcentral
UAAUAGACUACCCGAGGUAGUCCUGGCCGUAAACCGAUGGAUACUAGGUGUCGCGGGUAUCGACCCCGUGCGGUGCUGCAGUUAACGCAAUAAGUAUCCCGCCUGGGGAGUACGCACGCAAGUGUGAAACUCAAAGGAAUUGACGGGGACCCGCACAAGCGGUGGAACAUGUGGUUUAAUUCGAAGCAACGCGAAGAACCUUACCAGGACUUGACAUCUGAGGAACCUUGCAGAAAUGUGAGGGUGCCUUCGGGAACCUCAAGACAGGUGGUGCACGGUUGUCGUCAGCUCGUGUCGUGAGAUGUUGGGUUAAGUCCCGCAACGAGCGCAACCCUCGUUGCCAGUUGCCUGCAAAAGCCUGCUUUUGUAGUGCUCUCUGGCGAGACUGCCGGUGAUAAACCGGAGGAAGGUGGGGACGACGUCAAAUCAUCAUGCCCCUUAUGUCCUGGGCUACACACGUGUUACAAUGGGUAGGACAGCGAGCAGCCAAUCAGCGAUGAUGAGCAAAUCUCUUAAACCUACUCCCAGGUUC